This 71-nucleotide transfer RNA is filed under the name Dipodomys ordii (Ord's kangaroo rat). It matches the Rfam family "tRNA". Rfam says of the family: Transfer RNA (tRNA) molecules are approximately 80 nucleotides in length. Lineage: Eukaryota; Metazoa; Chordata; Mammalia; Rodentia; Heteromyidae. The record is from Rfam by way of RNAcentral.
GGUGCUGUGGUUCAAGCGGUAGAGCGAUCGCCUUGCAUGCAUGAGGCCCUGGGUUCAAUUCCUCAGCACCA